UUUUUCUCUUUUUCUUUAAACCCUUUGCUUUGCUGUAACAUUUUCAUUUCACUCAUUGUACACGUUUGUAUACGUGCUGAUAUUCAUUCAGCUUAUACGUGUUAAUUCUCCACCACUAUCUCCGUUUAUCUCCAAUCCAGAGAAUCACCGCCUCGAUCUACAAGCAUCCGAUCGAUGUUCAAAACCCAGGCGCACCUUCACAUAUUCUCUACCUCCAUCGGCGGCUUUCAACGACAUUAUUCCUCUCCUCUCGAUCCUUUCUCAUUGCCAUUGCAACCACCGCCCGGUGGUCUCUCCUCCACCAUUUACCCAAGAUGGUCACAAUGGACAUCACUGCCGCCCUACGCAUCGUCUACCUCCUGCAAACGUGCGCAAAAUAAACCAAAGUACCACCACAUCAUCUACCUCCUGCAAAGGUUCGCAGUACCGGAUUCGCUAGAGCCAUAUGCCAAUGUCGACAUCGGAAGACCACAACUUGCAACAGGUUGGUUCAUCUUCUCCCUCAAUUUUCUGGAUUAGGUUUAAUGCAUCUGCUCAGUCCGAUGUUUCUAUUUUCAUUGUCUUCUACUUCUACCAUUGUUUCCCAAGAAAGCCCUAACAUUGAUUUCUUAGAGAUGAUUAGUAAUCGACUGUUCUUUUAUUAUUUCUGCGAAUGGGGUUGUCACUAAAAACCAAGAAGCUGAAGCCUUGAAGAAAAAGAAUGAUGCCACUAAGAACCCUAAACCAUCCAACCAAUUCCCAUAUGCUUGCUGUGAUUUUUUUCUUUGCGUUUUGCUUUUGAUGAGUUUCUUUUAUGGUUAUGUAUAUGAUUUUUACAAAUCGAAAGACCACAAAUCGUUCGAAGAUUCAUGGGAAGUCGCAUCCUUCACUAUAGAGGUAUCUCUCUCUACUUUAUCUAUCUAAAAUCUUUCAGUUCUUUAGCUGUGGGAGUUUCACAAAACCAUUAGGAAAAUGUAAGUGUUGUAGUCUUUCGUUUUUCUUGAAUGCAAAUAUGUGUCUCACAGAUUGAGCAUGAUGAUGCGUGUAUAACAGGUAGAAUAGGCUGAAUCUGAAGGCAAUAGAUGCAGAGCAACUAAGACAACAUGAGCACAAGAUGAUUGCUUUCAUUGCCGAUUACUACAAAAGUAUAGAGAGUUUCCCCGUUCUCAACCAUGUUGAGGUUGGAGUUCGCAUACGGGAAUGAAGUCAAAAGACGAAGAGGUGGAUUUUCACCAACAAGAUAUUCAAGUUAAAGUUAUUCCAUGUAAAACCCUCACAAUAUACUUUAGCUUUAAAUAUUACAUGUAUGGAUUCUAAUUUCAAGAUUAUUGGAAUAUUUUUACACUUGAAUGAACAUUUUUAACUAUGUAAAUUUUUCUAUAGAUCUUGAACUGUUAAAUUCAUGAUGGCAA
Non-coding RNA from Lactuca sativa (garden lettuce), 1391 nucleotides. Lineage: Eukaryota; Viridiplantae; Streptophyta; Magnoliopsida; Asterales; Asteraceae. The record is from RefSeq and is a predicted model, not a curated record.